UCCAGACUCCUACGGGAGGCAGCAGUGGGGGAUAUUGCACAAUGGGGGGAACCCUGAUGCAGCGACGCCACGUGGGUGAAGGAGCGUUUCGGCGCGUAAAGCCCUAUCGGCAGGGAAGAAGGAGGACGGUACCUGACUAAGAAGCCCCGGCUAACUACGUGCCAGCAGCCGCGGUAAUACGUAGGGGGCAAGCGUUAUCCGGAUUUACUGGGUGUAAAGGGGGCGCAGACGGCAGCGCAAGCCAGGAGUGAAAGCCCGGGGCCCAACCCCGGGACUGCUCUUGGAACUGCGCGGCUGGAGUGCAGGAGGGGCAGGCGGAAUUCCUGGUGUAGCGGUGAAAUGCGUAGAUAUCAGGAGGAACACCGGUGGCGAAGGCGGCCUGCUGGACUGCGACUGACGUUGAGGCCCGAAAGCGUGGGGAGCAAACAGGAUUAGAUACCCUCGUA
Molecule: ribosomal RNA, 446 nt
Filed under: uncultured bacterium
Lineage: Bacteria
Description: partial 16S ribosomal RNA
Rfam family: Bacterial small subunit ribosomal RNA
Source: RNAcentral